ACCUGGGGGUCCUGGUCAAUGGAAGUGCCUUGAGGCUCCCUUGGGGUUCUGAAAAAUUGGAAACAGAUGAGUUGUUGGGCCUGUAUCUGGGAAGGGGACCAGAGCACCUGAGCCCAGGAAAUGUGUGAUGGUGAGGAUUGAUGGAAGAGGUGAUGCUGUAGGCUCCUAAGAAAAGCCUGGUACUGCUGGUGGUGUGAAAUCGAGCUCAGAGGUUUGGGGAGCUCACGUCGGUGCAGUUUGGACAGAUCUGUGGACCAAAGGCACCAGGGAUUGCUCCUUGGAGAAGAUGUCUUAAUUCAUGAAGGUGCAGCUGCUCUGUGUCCACUUGGCUCACACGUUCCCCAGAGUAUCCUUGUUUCCUGUUCUCACCUUAGUAUAAUAGUGGUGACUAUUUCCUUGCCCAGUGAGUUCCAUUGCUUUACAAAAUGAGUGUCAGGUACGCAGUAGUAUGAGAAACCAUAAACAAACAAUCUGUCUCCAAGCCCAGGAAGAGUAAGGUUUUGCUAAAAGAGGUAAUUUAUCUUAACAAGUCAGGGAGAGAAACAUCCCCACAAGCUCAUCAUAUCAGCUGUGCCAUCAUACCACCUCAGCUUUCUAAUUCUGUAAUUUCUGAACUAUUUAGCUGCAUUGAAGACUGUUACCUCAAUUCCUAGGUUAUCUGUGUAGCCACAUUCUUCAAAGGUGGCAGUGAGUCAAGAAAGUAAUUAUAAUUUAGCAUUUGGAAAGUUGGCAUACACUUUUAUGUCAGCUUCCCUUUUUAGCUAAAUGCUGUUUCAAAACUCUUGCAAGUUAGACAUGGGUGAAAACAACUCAAAGGUUGGAGGAGCUUCUCAGACAGGAAUCAGCAGAAACAAAAAUCCUACUCUACCUCUGCACAGUACGAGCAAUAUUUAAAUAGUCCAGGCAUUUUCACAACAGUUGGAGUUGCAGAAAAUCUGUACUGAACACAGACCAUAAUCUUUGUAAUGGCAUUUAAAAUUCGCUGAGCACGUUGGCAGUUAGCCAGUUGUCUGACAAUAUUACAGGAAAGGGGUUAGGUCAGAAUGACCUAGACACAUCCAGGAAAACCAUCUCAAGGCAUUCUGCUUGGGAUGAUAAUUGUGAAACCUACAGCAAGGAGUGGAUCAUGUCAUAGCAGUGAACUGAGGACAGAACACCUGGGCCUAGGAGUGCUGCAAACAGGCAGAAGU
Long non-coding RNA from Pipra filicauda (Wire-tailed manakin), 1190 nucleotides. RefSeq lists it as uncharacterized. The record is from RefSeq and is a predicted model, not a curated record. Lineage: Eukaryota; Metazoa; Chordata; Aves; Passeriformes; Pipridae. The transcript has 3 exons.